GAUGAACGCUAGCGACAGGCCUAACACAUGCAAGUCGAGGGGCAUCGCGGUGUAGCAAUACACUGGCGGCGACCGGCGCACGGGUGCGUAACACGUAUACAAUCUGCCUGCAACAUUGGGAUAGCCCGUUGAAAGACGAAUUAAUACCGAAUAAUACAGGGAUACCGCAUGGUAAUAUUUGUUAAAGAUUAAAUCGGUUGCAGAUGAGUAUGCGCAGGAUUAGACAGUUGGUAAGGUAACGGCUUACCAAAUCAACGAUCCUUAGGGGUUCUGAGAGGAAGGUCCCCCACACUGGUACUGAGACACGGACCAGACUCCUACGGGAGGCAGCAGUGAGGAAUAUUGGUCAAUGGGCGAGAGCCUGAACCAGCCAAGUCGCGUGAAGGAAGACGGUAUUAUGUAUUGUAAACUUCUUUUUCAGGGGAAUAAAGUGCAUCAUUGAUGGUGUAUUGCAUGUACCCUGCGAAUAAGCAUCGGCUAACUCCGUGCCAGCAGCCGCGGUAAUACGGAGGAUGCGAGCGUUAUCCGGAUUUAUUGGGUUUAAAGGGUGCGCAGGCGGGCUUUUAAGUCAGCGGUGAAAUUUUGUCGCUUAACGAUAAACUUGCCGUUGAAACUGCGAGUCUUGAGUACAGAUGCGGCAGGCGGAAUGUGUAGUGUAGCGGUGAAAUGCAUAGAUAUUACACAGAACACCGAUUGCGAAGGCAGCUUGCCAAGCUGUAACUGACGCUGAGGCACGAAAGUGUGGGUAUCAAACAGGAUUAGAUACCCUGGUAGUCCACACAGUAAACGAUGAUUACUGACUGUUUGUCUGCACAGAUAAGCGGUUAAGCGAAAGCGUUAAGUAAUCCACCUGGGGAGUACGUCGGCAACGAUGAAACUCAAAGGAAUUGACGGGGGCCCGCACAAGCGGAGGAACAUGUGGUUUAAUUCGAUGAUACGCGAGGAACCUUACCCGGGCUUGAAAUGGAGCGGAAUAGUUUGGAAACAGAUUAGUCAGCAAUGACCGCUUUGUAGGUGCUGCAUGGUUGUCGUCAGCUCGUGCCGUGAGGUGUCGGCUUAAGUGCCAUAACGAGCGCAACCCUUGCCAAUAGUUACCAGCAUUCAGAUGGGGACUCUAUUGGGACUGCCGCCGUAAGGUGUGAGGAAGGUGGGGAUGACGUCAAAUCAGCACGGCCCUUACGUCCGGGGCGACACACGUGUUACAAUGGGUGGUACAGAGGGAAGCUACCAUGCGAGUGGAUGCGAAUCUCUUAAAACCAUUCUCAGUUCGGAUCGGAGUCUGCAACUCGACUCCGUGAAGCUGGAUUCGCUAGUAAUCGCGCAUCAGCCAUGGCGCGGUGAAUACGUUCCCGGGC
RNAcentral lists this ribosomal RNA (1355 nucleotides) under uncultured Bacteroidales bacterium. RNAcentral describes it as "16S ribosomal RNA". It matches the Rfam family "Bacterial small subunit ribosomal RNA", at positions 28 to 1379 of the family's 1533-position model. The record is from RNAcentral. Lineage: Bacteria; Pseudomonadati; Bacteroidota; Bacteroidia; Bacteroidales.